Molecule: ribosomal RNA, 793 nt
Filed under: uncultured archaeon
Lineage: Archaea
Description: bacterial SSU rRNA
Rfam family: Archaeal small subunit ribosomal RNA
Source: RNAcentral
ACUGCUCAGUAACACGUGGACAACCUGCCCUUAGGUUGGGUAUAAACCCGGGAAACUGGGUAUAAUACCCGAUAGGUCUCGAUUGCUGGAAUGCAUCGAGAUUUAAAGCUCCGGCGCCUAAGGAUGGUUCUGCGGCCUAUCAGGUAGUAGUGGGUGUAGCGUACCUACUAGCCUACGACGGGUACGGGUUGUGAGAGCAAGAGCCCGGAGAUGGAUUCUGAGACACGAAUCCAGGCCCUACGGGGUGCAGCAGGCGCGAAAACUUUACGAUGCUGGCAACAGCGAUAAGGGAACCUCGAGUGCCAGGUUACAAAUCUGGCUGUCGAGAUGCCUAAAAAGCAUUUCAUAGCAAGGGCCGGGCAAGACCGGUGCCAGCCGCCGCGGUAACACCGGCGGCUCGAGUGGUAACCGUUAUUAUUGGGUCUAAAGGGUCUGUAGCCGGCCGGAUAAGUCUCUUGAGAAAUCUGGCAGCUUAACUGUCAGGCUUUCAGGAGAUACUGUCUGGCUCGAGGCCGGGAGAGGUGAGAGGUACUUCAGGGGUAGGGGUGAAAUCUUGUAAUCCUUGAAGGACCACCAGUGGCGAAGGCGUCUCACCAGAACGGACCUGACGGCAAGGGACGAAAGCUAGGGGCACGAACCGGAUUAGAUACCCGGGUAGUCCUAGCCGUAAACGAUACUCGCUAGGUGUCUGCCACGGUGCGACCGUUGUCGGUGCCGUAGGGAAGCCGUGAAGCGAGCCACCUGGGAAGUACGGUCGCAAGGCUGAAACUUAAAGGAAUUGGCGGGGGAGCAC